UAUUUCAAAUUUCAUCUAUUUUUACUGUUAAAAAUUGGUGUGGCUGAUGAAAUAACCCAUACAGCUAUGCAUGGCGUGCCACAUAUACUUCAUGCUGACAUACAAUGACUAAUUUUUAAUAGUAAAAAUGGAUAGAAAUUUUAACA
This is a non-coding RNA of Gossypium hirsutum (cotton), 146 nucleotides long. The record is from Rfam. Lineage: Eukaryota; Viridiplantae; Streptophyta; Magnoliopsida; Malvales; Malvaceae.